RNAcentral lists this ribosomal RNA (253 nucleotides) under uncultured bacterium. RNAcentral's name for it is "partial 16S ribosomal RNA". It matches the Rfam family "Bacterial small subunit ribosomal RNA", at positions 524 to 776 of the family's 1533-position model. The record is from RNAcentral.
UACGAAGGGGGCUAGCGUUGUUCGGAUUUACUGGGCGUAAAGGGAGCGUAGGCGGCAAUUCAAGUCAGUUGUGAAAUCUCCGAGCUUAACUCGGAACGGUCAACUGAUACUGCUUUGCUAGAGUACAGAAGGGGCAAUCGGAAUUCUUGGUGUAGCGGUGAAAUGCGUAGAUAUCAAGAGGAACACCUGAGGUGAAGACGGGUUGCUGGGCUGAUACUGACGCUGAGGCUCGAAAGCUAGGGGAGCAAACGGG